Hydra vulgaris (swiftwater hydra) is the source of this 411-nucleotide non-coding RNA. The record is from RefSeq and is a predicted model, not a curated record. NCBI's taxonomy places the organism in Eukaryota, Metazoa, Cnidaria, Hydrozoa, Anthoathecata, Hydridae.
UUUUUUUAUAGUUACAUAGGUUGUUGUACGUAAAGCAGAACUGAUUUGAUAACUGUUAUUUUUAUUGACUGUUGACAAUUUCAAGAUAUUUUUUUUUUUUUUGAUUAUAUAACUUUUUUGUUAUCUUUAGGCCAAUUUGCACAGACUACAGCUGUAUCUACCUCUUGUACUACACCUGUAUCUACCUCUUGUGCUACACCUGGGUGUUAUAACAUCAUAACCACAUCUACGGCCAACUCUAAGAUCACCUUAUUUUGUUUGGCAGUGUUCUGGAAUCAAGUUAUGGCAAUAUUUUAUGUAUAAAAUCUAACAAUUACAUUAAAAAAGUGCUUAUUUUUGACAAAAACUUGUAUUUUCUUAAGGGUUAGAUGGUGUUUCAUUACCCCCUCUGGCUCCCAAGAUACACCCUAC